Bradysia coprophila is the source of this 851-nucleotide long non-coding RNA. Lineage: Eukaryota; Metazoa; Arthropoda; Insecta; Diptera; Sciaridae. The record is from RefSeq and is a predicted model, not a curated record.
UAAAUAUCAUUACAUGCCCAUCAUUCGUUCAAAGUGGUCAAGAGUAGCGUAGUCAAGGCGGCUAACGACAAGAACUUAUUUAACUCAAAUCACAGAAUAAUUUUUUACUAAAAAUCAAUCUGGUUAUCAGCACCAAAUUCGAAAUAAAUAAACUUAAAUAAAAAUAAGAAUCGUAUGUGAUAUCGAUUGCUAUAGUGAAAAUUCCACGUCGAUUGAGUUUUUUCAUCGGAUUUGGUGUGAAUAGAAAAGAAUUCGGCAAGACGAUGUCGUCGCAACAACAAAAUAUUUGUGAUUGUAUGGACAAGGAUGUGUGUCAGGAGAGGCUACGUGGUUUGUUAUUAGCUGGUGAAUACAGAAUGGAAGAGGUAGAUCGACAUGUAAACCGACUAAGACAACACUCAGCCCAGACAGAACUCGUCCAGCCGGCACACGUCACAGUAAACAACCAGCCAGACCAGAUCGAAGUCAACCACCCAGCACAGAUCGCAGUCAACAACCAGCCAGACCAGAUCGAAGUCAACCACCCAGCACAGAUCGCAGUAAACCAGCCAGAAGAGCAAAUUGCAUACGAUGGUAUUCGAUAUCGUUUCAUCAAUCUAAUCACUAGAUAUUGGAGGUUUUUUGUAGAGGAUCUGGGAACGGAAUAUACGGUGAGACAACGUCUAACUCUCCUGCGAAAAAAUUGGAUUGAAAUGAUCGGAUUGUGAUUAAUUUAACAAUCAUGUUAUGGAAGGAUACAUCAUUAAAUUGCAAUCAAUACCAGCCUUGUUCACGCUAUAGUUAUUUAUGCUAAAUAACACACAUCGUGUGCCUAAAAAGCAUUUAUCACCGAGUUGUAUACAACGUUUUUC